This 1326-nucleotide unclassified non-coding RNA is filed under the name Kluyveromyces lactis. Its description in RNAcentral is "partial TER1". The record is from RNAcentral. Lineage: Eukaryota; Fungi; Ascomycota; Saccharomycetes; Saccharomycetales; Saccharomycetaceae.
GAAUAUAUGAUGGGUGCGGAAUCACGAUCGGUAUUUGUGUGAUGCAAUUUCUGGGGUGGUAAGGACCAGUGCCACACUUGGGUUUGAUUUUCCUCUCAUCGAGUUUCGUGUGCGCAUGUUCGUCUCUCACAUCGAGUUAUACUCUCAUCUUCUAUACAUUAGAAGGAUGCAUCAGCAGUUUGAUCUGCUGAAAGAGUUCAUACACCCAAUUAUUGUUUAAAGGCCUGGUGUUGGGUAGUAUUUCUAACGGAUUUUAGAAAUGCUAUGACAACAAUACCUUUAGAAUUAUAUUGUGUGGAUAUUUACUUCUUGUUAAACAGACUGUGACAUAUCUCAAUGAGAGGGGAUUAUUCUCGUUUUUGGAGUUAUUCUGAUGCCUGUUGCUCUUGCUCCUACGCAUAGAAGCAUAGCAUUGAACUCCAUGGUGUGGUACUUCAAAUCCGUACACCACAUACCUAAUCAAAACCUCCUCGCAACGGCUUCCAUAUUCUCGUCUGUAUUCAAUCGUGGAUAGUGGUUUCAGCUCGACGUGGGUAUGCUAGUGACUCAGAGUUUGGAUGUACUAGGUUUCAUAAGGAUACCCAACUGGAAAUGUUGCGGAAAUAUCACAUUCGUCCUUGCUCCAUUGUUAACUCAGUGUCACUUUAGGUCCUAUGGGAAACAAUGUUGAGCUGAUGCAUUUUUCCGUACAGCCAUUACCGUUCUUCGGGAUGGCAAGGAUUAGCCCUUCCUAUUACAGGCUUUAUAAUGGAAAACUCUUAAGAUAUAUUUCUAGGUUUUUUUCCAUGACAGAGAAUUAAGCCUGUGGUUCAUGUUGAUAUUCCAGAAUACGCAACAAUUGCUGCGUAUUCGGUAGGUUUCUUUUUAGUGAUUUUUCCAAACCCAUUCUUCUCUUCGUUAGUAUAUUUGACUCGGUUCUAUUUCAAUGUGUCGCAUUGAAAUAGAAAUCCUUUGUGCAUAAAAUCAUUUACCUCAACUUUCCUCACCAAGUAUCUUUGAAUGUUUUGCUCCCAUCAAGAAAGAAAGAACUUCUACUACAACGAGUCAAUAUGCUAGCAUGGUGGAGGUACAGUUGUCCUAUGGUGGAUCUUGAAAAGACCCUCGGAAGACAGGGCCACAUCGACGAUCAAUAUUUUGCCUAUCAUCAACAAAUUGUGACUGAUUUUUCUCUCAUCGUUUAUGAGAGAACCCUCUUGUCUCUUGUGAUUGACGCUUAUAUGUCACCAUGGCAUGCAGCUGCUCCUUAUAACCACUUUUUGGUACAUCUCCCUACUAAGACUCGGGAACUGUUGCACUUAUCAAUUUAUUCUUGAGAUAAGGGCAACA